GCUUACGGCCAUACCACCCUGAACACGCCCGAUCUCGUCUGAUCUCGGAAGCUAAGCAGGGUCGGGCCUGGUCAGUACUUGGAUGGGAGACCGCCUGGGAAUACCAGGUGCUGUAAGUU
Maylandia zebra (zebra mbuna) is the source of this 119-nucleotide ribosomal RNA. The record is from Ensembl. Lineage: Eukaryota; Metazoa; Chordata; Actinopteri; Cichliformes; Cichlidae.